CCUACGGGAGGCAGCAGUGGGGAAUUUUGGACAAUGGGCGCAAGCCUGAUCCAGCAAUGCCGCGUGAGUGAAGAAGGCCUUCGGGUUGUAAAGCUCUUUUGUCAGGGAAGAAACGGCUGAGGCUAAUACCUUUGGCUAAUGACGGUACCUGAAGAAUAAGCACCGGCUAACUACGUGCCAGCAGCCGCGGUAAUACGUAGGGUGCAAGCGUUAAUCGGAAUUACUGGGCGUAAAGCGUGCGCAGGCGGUUUUGUAAGUCUGACGUGAAAUCCCCGGGCUCAACCUGGGAAUUGCGUUGGAGACUGCAAGGCUGGAGUCUGGCAGAGGGGGGUAGAAUUCCACGUGUAGCAGUGAAAUGCGUAGAGAUGUGGAGGAACACCGAUGGCGAAGGCAGCCCCCUGGGUCAAGACUGACGCUCAUGCACGAAAGCGUGGGGAGCAAACAGGAUUAGAUACCCUGGUAGUCCACGCCCUAAACGAUGUCUACUAGUUGUCGGGUCUUAAUUGACUUGGUAACGCAGCUAACGCGUGAAGUGACCGCCUGGGGAGUAACGGUGCAAGNUUAAACUUCAAAUGAAUUGACCGGNNGAGAGNGCGAGGACGACGACGAGGGAGGAGG
This 618-nucleotide ribosomal RNA is filed under the name uncultured bacterium. RNAcentral describes it as "bacterial SSU rRNA". It matches the Rfam family "Bacterial small subunit ribosomal RNA", at positions 338 to 951 of the family's 1533-position model. The record is from RNAcentral.